This 2395-nucleotide long non-coding RNA is filed under the name Lupinus angustifolius (narrow-leaved blue lupine). RNAcentral's name for it is "long non-coding RNA (LANG_LNC003340)". The record is from RNAcentral. Lineage: Eukaryota; Viridiplantae; Streptophyta; Magnoliopsida; Fabales; Fabaceae.
CAAAUAUCCAAGGUAACGUAAUAGAGUUGAAAGAGUCCUAAUUCAUUCUUCAUUAUAAAUCCAAAUACACCAUAAAAUCUAAAAAAACUAAAGUAGUCUCAUAUAACACUUUAAAAACAAAACACAUAGCAAAAAUCCUAAAUGUUGCUGGCUCCAGAUAAUCCUCUUGCCCUCAAAGGUGUAUCAGGCAUACUUACAUCUUCAUCACCUACAAAUGUAACCAUUAAACAGUUUAUCUCAAACUACAGAAUAAGAAAUCCAUAUGUAGAGAUUAGAAGUCCUAGGAUUUACUAUUACAAUGCGACACUAAUGAAAAAAAUAAAAUAAAUAACUGAGACAAUUCGAGACCCACAUAAGCAACAAAGCAACACAAUUACUUAACAAACAUUAACAGAUGUUUGUCCCCUGUGUGAGUAAGGUAUGUGCUUUGAUAAUGUUAACAUGUAUGCAUAGAAUGUCAAACAUAACAAAAAUUGUAUAGCAUAAAUUGAGAGUAUAUCACAGAGAUGUAGCCUACAACAAACAUAGAAAAGUAUGGCUGUAACAUGUAUACAAAAGCAUUGAGAUUUUAGUUCCAAAUGAGUAUAAAGGUCAUUUAAUAUUUGUUCUUCUUGAAAACAAAGCUGACCAGCCAAAUAUUCAAUUGAAAUCAAAGAUGAAUUCAGGCCAAUAAUCUUCAUUGAACAAAAUAGGAAAAUGGAAAGAGAUAAGUACAAAGAAGCCAGACAACCACCAACUCUGAAAUAGGAUUUAUCUAAUGACACUAAACUAACACAACGUAUCCACUAAUCUCAUGAAUAUUGUAUAAGUUGCAAGUUGUUAUUCAUAUUGGUAUCAACUACACAUCAUUCUUUCAAAAUCAAUAUAAAAUGAAAUUAUUGAAAUACAUACCAAGAAUGCCAAUAUAGUAGGUAAGUGGAACAUAAGUGUGCUCAAUUUUGAAAAGUAUUUUAGCUGAGGGAACCAAACUAUAUUCUUCCCAUUGAGGUAAACCCCCAUACUAAAUCUCUUUUCUUAUAUUUUGGGUCUCCAAACCUAAGGACUUUAGAACACCAAAUCAUUCUAAUGGCUGAAAAUUGGAAUUACUCAACAGUUAGUAGCUGCAUAAAUAUAUGUUUAACAUGUACCUUCAAUUCCACACAACACCAAAAUAAUAAAAAAGAAGAGAAGAGAUUAAUCCAUCACAAAAUAUAGAAAAGUUUAGACAUAGAAGACUUUGUCAUUUAUUAGUACUCUCUCAUUGUUUCUGUUAAGCUUUUUUAGGAGUGAGUAUUCUCAUAGUCUAAUAGACUUUGAUGAAUUCAGUGUGUAUUUGAAGAAGCAAUUGACACGCCCGAAUGACAAAGCAUAACCUUACAUUAGAGAAAAAGUGAUCAUACACAGAUUUUACACUUGCAAAAAGUUGUUCACUUUUAAACAGAUUUUUCUAUGCAGCUUUUAGGAUUUCCUCCAUUUUGAUAUCAUGUAGGUGUUUUUAAACAUUAAAAAGCCUGGAGUUUUAGAAACUGUCCUGCCACUUGGCAUUUCAGGAUAUAAAUUUUUCUGAAACAAAAAAUCAUAGCAUGGUUUUGAUGAAGUCACUAAGCAUUAUACAUUAUUAUUGUUAACAAUGCCUCCCUACAAACAAACAACUUCAACGAUAGACUAAAGAAUGAAUUUGUAAUGCAAGGACAAAAUGAGAGACAAAGGAAUACAUUUUAUCAGAGACAAGAAGAUAAAUAGCAGCAUCACCUAUCCCCCCCGCCCACACACAGGUCAAUAAAUGAUAUUAUCUUCUCUACAAAAUGGCUAAUUUAAAGUGUGUUAAAGACCUUAAUAGAAAAUAAGAGGUGUGACAAAGAAAAUUUCAUAAAUUUUCUGACCAAAAAAACCCUAAGAGAGCAACUAUCAAUUUGUUUUAUAACUUAUACAACCUAGGUUUCAUUGAUUUCUCCACUUGUUUCAUUAUAAUCCAACAAAGGUUAACAUUGCUGCAACAACAAAGGUUAAAUUUCUGAUACCUCAAAUCCUGCAAUUCUCGAAAAUCAGCCUCUCUUGGUGAUGAAACUUUGUUUAUCGUCUAAUUCUUCUUCGUGUGGCAGAGAUGAGCACCAUACAACCACCGUGUAGUUUUCGAUUGUUAUAGAACGUCGAACGUGAGCAUCGCUAAAUGGAUUCAGAAAAGUAACCAUCACCGGAAGUAAUGAAAAUGUUAUGACGACGACGCCAAUGGUGGUUGAUGGCGACUCUGAAAUCGUAUUUGAUUUGGAAUUGGAGAAGUUAAGGUGGUGGACAAGUUACAACGUUGAAGGGUUUGUGAAGUUGGAAGAGGUGAAUAUGUUUUGGAGAAGUUAGGGUUUGUGAACAUGUUUAGAUAAAAUAAAUGACAAUUGGAAAAUUGAGAAAUACAGUGGAG